Molecule: ribosomal RNA, 504 nt
Filed under: Triticum aestivum (bread wheat)
Lineage: Eukaryota; Viridiplantae; Streptophyta; Magnoliopsida; Poales; Poaceae
Description: partial small subunit ribosomal RNA
Source: RNAcentral
CUAAAAGUGAAGAUAUUCCUAUGGUUUCUCAAUAGAGGGGUGAUUUUAAUUAGGAAUAAUUUGGCACGACGAAACUGGCAAGGGUGUAAAAAAUGUGUUUUCUGCCAUCAUGAUGAGUCCAUUAAACACUUAUUUUUUUAAUGCAAGUUUGCUCGGUCUGUCUGGGCCAUUGUCCAAAUAGCUUCGAAUCUUUAUCCCCGUAGUGCACGGAAUAUGUUCGGCAACUGGUUGAGGGGAAUAGAUAAACAAUUUUCUGCACACAUUCUUGUGGGGGCGGCCGCUUUAUGUUGGGCUCUGUGGCUCACCAGGAAUGACAUUGUUUUUAACCAUAAAUGUGUUUCAUCUACUAUGCAGGUUAUUCAUAUAUGUUCGCGAUGGUUCCAUAUGUGGUCUAUCCUACAGAGGCCGGAGGACAGAGACCUUUUUAUGAUGGCGUCUAUUCGGCUGGAGCGUUCAGUCAGAGAGAUUUUCUACCCCAUGGAUGGCGGUGUGAUCUUCGGAUAA